This 433-nucleotide ribosomal RNA is filed under the name uncultured bacterium. RNAcentral describes it as "partial 16S ribosomal RNA". It matches the Rfam family "Bacterial small subunit ribosomal RNA", at positions 29 to 507 of the family's 1533-position model. The record is from RNAcentral.
AACGAACGCUGGCGGCAUGCCUAACACAUGCAAGUCGAACGAGACCUUCGGGACUAGUGGCGCACGGGUGCGUAACGCGUGGGAACCUGCACUUAGGUUCGGAAUAACUCCCCGACAGGGGUGCUAAUACCGGAUAAUGUCUUCGGACCAAAGAUUUAUCGACUUUGGAUGGGCCCGAGUUGGAUUAGCUAGUUGGUAGGGUAAAAGCCUACCAAGGCGACGAUCCAUAGCUGGUCUGAGAGGAUGAUCAGCCACACUGGGACUGAGACACGGCCCAGACUCCUACGGGAGGCAGCAGUGGGUAAUAUUGGACAAUGGGCGAAAGCCUGAUCCAGCAAUGCCGCGUGAGUGAUGAAGGCCUUAGGGUUGUAAAGCUCUUUUACCCGGGAUGAUAAUGACAGUACCGGGAGAAUAAGCUCCGGCUAACUCCGUG